Molecule: ribosomal RNA, 578 nt
Filed under: uncultured Dothideomycetes
Lineage: Eukaryota; Fungi; Ascomycota; Dothideomycetes
Description: eukaryotic LSU rRNA
Rfam family: 5.8S ribosomal RNA (bases 215-368)
Source: RNAcentral
GCCCUUCUUGGUCAUUUAGAGGAAGUAAAAGUCGUAACAAGGUUUCCGUAGGUGAACCUGCGGAAGGAUCAUUACAGAAAGUAAACGCGGAUCAAACCGCGAACUUUUAAACCUUUGACGAUUGACUCAUGUUGCCUCGGCGGGUUCUCCCGCCAGAGGAUACAUCAAAACUCCUGUUUUAACGGUGUUGUCUGAGCUACAAGCAACGAAUCAAAACUUUCAACAACGGAUCUCUUGGUUCUGGCAUCGAUGAAGAACGCAGCGAAAUGCGAUAAGUAGUGUGAAUUGCAGAAUUCAGUGAAUCAUCGAAUCUUUGAACGCACAUUGCGCCCCUUGGUAUCCCGAGGGGCAUGCCUGUUCGAGCGUCAUUUCACCACUCAAGCCUGGCUUGGUGUUGGGCGACGUCCCCUUUGGGGACGCGCCUCGAAACGCUCGGCGGCGUGGCACCGACUUUAAGCGUAGCAGAAUCUUUCGCUUUGAAAGUUGGGGCCCCGUCUGCCGGAAGACCUACUGGCAAGGUUGACCUCGGAUCAGGCAGGGAUACCCGCUGAACUUAAGCAUAUCAUUAAGCGGAGGAA